UGAGUGGAUGGGAGCAACCUAGUUGUGCGUGUGUAAAGGUAGUGCCAAGAAAAGCGAUGAUCAUGUUGAAAAUCAAUUCCCGGUACCCGAAACCGACACAGGUGGGCAAGUAGAGAAUACUAAGGGGCGCGAGGUAACUCUCUCCAAGGAACUCGGCAAAAUGACCCCGUAACUUAGGGAGAAGGGGUGCCACCGAGAGGUGGUCGCAGUGAAGAGGCCCAGGCGACUGUUUAGCAAAAACAUAGGUCUCUGCAAACUCGAAAGAGGAGGUAUAGGGGCUGACGCCUGCCCAGUGCCGGAAGGUUAAAGAAGUUGGUCAGUUUUAGGAUGAAGCUAGCGACUGAAGCCCGGUGAACGGCGGCCGUAACUAUAACGGUCCUAAGGUAGCGAAAUUCCUUGUCGGGUAAGUUCCGACCCGCACGAAAGGCGUAACGAUCUGGGCGCUGUCCCGGAGAGAGGCUCGGCGAAAUAGGAUUGUCUGUGAAGAUACGGACUACCUGCAUUUGGACAGAAAGACCCUAUGAAGCUUUACUAUAGCUUGGAAUUGUGUUCGGGCUUCCUGUGCGCAGGAUAGGUGGGAGGCGUAGAAGGUAUUCUUGUGGGGAUACUGGAGCCAACGGUGAGAUACCACUCUCAGGAGGCUAGAAUUCUAACUUAAUUAAGGACAGUUUCAGGUGGGUAGUUUGACUGGGGCGGUCGCCUCCAAAAAGGUAACGGAGGCGUACAAAGGUUCCCUCAGACUGGUUGGAAAUCAGUCGAAGAGUGCAAAGGCAGAAGGGAGCUUGACUGCGAGAAGUACAGUUCGAGCAGGGUGGAAACACGGUCUUAGUGAUCCGACGGUGCUGUGUGGAAGGGCCGUCGCUCAACGGAUAAAAGUUACUCUAAGGAUAACAGGCUGAUCUCCCCCAAGAGUUCACAUCGACGGGGAGGUUUGGCACCUCGAUGUCGGCUCAUCGCAACCUGGGGCGGAAGUACGUCCCAAGGGUUGGGCUGUUCGCCCAUUAAAGCGGUACGUGAGCUGGGUUCAGAACGUCGUGAGACAGUUCGGUCCAUAUCCGAUGUAGGCGUGAGAAUAUUGAGAGGAGCCUUCCUUAGUACGAGAGGACCGGGAAGGACGCACCGCUGGUCUACCUGUUAUGAUGCCAAUUGUAAACGCAGGGUAGCCAAGUGCGGAGAGGAUAACCGCUGAAAGCAUCUAAGUGGGAAGCCCACCUCAAGAUGAGUAUUCUGGUGUAAGGUCACGGGAAGACGACCCGUAAAUAGGCACGAGGUGGAGGUGCAGAGAUGUAUGAAGCCGAAGUGUACUAAUAGACCGUCGGCUUGACC
RNAcentral lists this ribosomal RNA (1326 nucleotides) under metagenome. RNAcentral describes it as "bacterial LSU rRNA". It matches the Rfam family "Bacterial large subunit ribosomal RNA", at positions 1560 to 2925 of the family's 2925-position model. The record is from RNAcentral.